UAAACAUCCAAAUAAACCAAUCUACACAAAAGAGGUCACUUUGGCGACAUAUUGUUUCAAUUAGUUUAUUUAAAAUGCUAGAUAACCUUAAUUUAUUAUGAAUAAAUUACCAAAAUAUUUGAAUUUUAUUGUUCCACAUAAUUAAAUCUUAAUUAUUCCUCUUAAGGGAGUCUUUAGUACCAAAAUUAUAGAGAGAGAAUCACUAAUUUUGCAUUAUUAGAUGCCUUUAGAAAGUUUAGGGACCUAAGGGUUAAUAAUUCAAAACUUUAGGGAUCAAAAUUUGAAAAAUUUUAAAACUUUAAGGGCUAAUUUUAAUUAAUUAUGAACUUUGGGGACUUUAAUUGCAAAAUUCAAAAGUUUAAUGGCCCAGAUUAAAUAAUUUUCCAAAAUCUAGGGGCUGAAUUAUUAAACCCAUAACCUUAAGGUCCAACUUGGAUGAAUAACAAAGUUUAGGGACUGAAUUUAAAAUUUUAACUUUAAAACCCUAAUUAGAAAUUGCAAGCAA
Molecule: long non-coding RNA, 505 nt
Filed under: Olea europaea (common olive)
Lineage: Eukaryota; Viridiplantae; Streptophyta; Magnoliopsida; Lamiales; Oleaceae
Description: long non-coding RNA (OEUR_LNC009421)
Source: RNAcentral